Molecule: ribosomal RNA, 253 nt
Filed under: uncultured bacterium
Lineage: Bacteria
Description: partial 16S ribosomal RNA
Rfam family: Bacterial small subunit ribosomal RNA
Source: RNAcentral
UACGGAGGGUGCAAGCGUUAUCCGGAUUCACUGGGUUUAAAGGGUGCGUAGGUGGCUUUGUAAGUCAGUGGUGAAAGCCCGGAGCUCAACUCCGGAACUGCCAUUGAUACUGCUUAGCUUGAAUCAACUUGAGGUGGAUGGAAUAUUACAUGUAGCGGUGAAAUGCUUAGAUAUGUAAUAGAACACCGAUUGCGAAGGCAGUUCACUAAGGUUGUAUUGACACUGAGGCACGAAAGCGUGGGGAUCAAACAGG